This 64-nucleotide transfer RNA is filed under the name Streptosporangium album. RNAcentral's name for it is "tRNA-Ser". The record is from RNAcentral. Lineage: Bacteria; Bacillati; Actinomycetota; Actinomycetes; Streptosporangiales; Streptosporangiaceae.
AGCCGUCAGCUGGACCGUCCGACUGGAAAACGGAAGGUCGGCGGUUCGACCCCGCCCCUGACCA